GGGGAUCUUGCUGGAGAUCCCUCUGUAGCUGAGACCUUCCAAAGCAGUCCAUUUCAAUAAGGAAGGAUUACUGAAAUGUGGUCUCUGAGGGACAUCUGUUUAUCCACUUUGAAGAAGAGUGUGGCUAAAUGUUUUCCAGAGACCUCGGGCUUCCCACGAAGGCAGCCUCCUGUGUGCACAGAUAACCCACUGCAGGAUUCUGCACAUCUCUCAGGUUUCAAAGAUGACUUCAAAAAAAAUUAGGACGUGUAUUUUGCUUACUGCAAAUGUAAAUAUAAAUCCCCGUCAGCAACAGUGUAAUCCAGCGGUGAUCUCUCUCAAAUUGAAACAAAUAAUAGAUGUUGUGAGAACAGCAAAGGAUUGAUGGUGUCAUCCUUACAGGCAGCUUAGAUGAAAGGAAUUCUGUGUUGGCUGUGCAGAUCAGCAUUGGAGUGGCACCAGAAGGAACAGAUAAACAGCUACUCAGCCCCAGUGCUGCCUGCUGGGGACAGCUGUGUUGGGGUGCUGUGUGGGCCCAUUCUGCCUCACUGCAAUUCUUCUCUGUACAGAACACCCUGGCAGACCUCUUCAGCCAGCAGCAGCGAUGAAGCUCCUCCAGACAGCUGCUGCUCCAGCACAUCAAUUCCUGCAGCCACCUCCUGCCAUGGCCAUGCUCGCACUACCUGUGGCUUUCUUACCUGCAGUCCAUAUGGGCAGCCCCAGCCAUGCUCCCUGCAUCUGCAGCCAGGGCAAUGCUCUGCUCUCUGCAGCUCCUCUCAGAUGAGAGCCGGGUCCCAGGCUGCUUUCCUGAUGAAAGAAUUUAAUCAUGCCUGUGUCUGACAGAGUGAUUGGUGCGGGCUUGAGCUAGAGGAAGAUCUGUCAUUGACUUGGGAUCCAGCUUGUGCCUGCUGCAUCUAUUAACGUGUCUCAGCACAAUAUAAAUAGCUCUGUUUUGUUUAAAAUCUUGCUUAUGGUUGAAAAACAAAUGAUAUAGCUUAAAAUGUACAUGUGGCUUGGUCCCCUGAUGAUGCUUCAAGGAAAUUAAUCUGAAGAAUAAUGAAAAAUACUUGAGGAAAAGAAAAUACAUCCCAAAGCGCAUUUUAAUGAGCCUUUCUUAAGCACAGAAAACAAAAAUAAAACUCCACCCUCUCUUCUUUUUACAAGAAAAGCAACAUCAAAGAAGAGGAGAAAUUGUCAACGCAAUUACAGGCAGUGCAGCGCAGGAAGCAGUGAUGUGCUCUGCAACUGGAGCUGUGGGUUUGUGUUGGGAGUGGGGUCCUGCUGGGUGCCUGUGUGUGCACAGCUCUGCUUUUCCCAGCGCUGUCUGGGCAUCUUUAAUUGCUGAGUCUGUGAGAUAAGUUUAGGAAGAGAAGUCCUGGUGUGUGCAAUGAGGAUUAAUCUGUUCAUUACAGGAAGGCCCCACCGUGCCUGACCUGAAAUCCUUGCCAGGCGCUGUCCUCUAUGGCCAGCAGACAGAAACGAGCUGUUAUUUUGGGCAGGAUCAGGGUGUGCUGCAAAUGAAAUCAAAGUGAAUGUAGCAAAGCACAGAGUUCCUGAGUACUGAGAUCUGGGUUAAUGCAUUUUCCAGUGAUAGCUUUGUAUUGUAUUGGGAACUUUUGGCUUUCUCCAGUGCAACACCAGGGGAUUCUUCCAGGCUAUGAGCUUGGGAUGAAGGCUGGACCAGUGGACAGCCAUGUUCCAAAAUGGCAUGCAUGGGCUGGGAGUCACCCUUGGCUGUGCCUGGCUCUGCUGGGACCAGGAGGCUUCAGUCGGGCACUACAUGUGUGCUGUUUGAGCUGUUGGUAGGACACCUGGUAUUUCUCCCUGCAGAUGCUGGAGGUUUCCAGCCUGGCCACCAUGGAAAUCUAGGUGCUCUGAUGUCAAGCCAUCACUGUUGUUUUGGGCAAGCAUCAGAGUGGCAAAGUGGGCAACACAAU
This is a long non-coding RNA of Gallus gallus (chicken), 1916 nucleotides long. RefSeq lists it as uncharacterized. NCBI's taxonomy places the organism in Eukaryota, Metazoa, Chordata, Aves, Galliformes, Phasianidae. The transcript is spliced from 3 exons. The record is from RefSeq and is a predicted model, not a curated record.